Molecule: non-coding RNA, 135 nt
Filed under: Plesiomonas shigelloides
Lineage: Bacteria; Pseudomonadati; Pseudomonadota; Gammaproteobacteria; Enterobacterales; Enterobacteriaceae
Also listed under: 1 other name
Description: TPP sequence
Rfam family: TPP riboswitch aptamer (THI element)
About the family: Vitamin B(1) in its active form thiamin pyrophosphate (TPP) is an essential coenzyme that is synthesised by coupling of pyrimidine and thiazole moieties in bacteria. The previously detected thiamin-regulatory element, thi box was extended, resulting in a new, highly conserved RNA secondary structure, the THI element, which is widely distributed in eubacteria and also occurs in some archaea.
Source: RNAcentral
UGAGAAUAGUCGGGGAACCUCGGUGUGACACAAGGCGGUAAGCCAUGAUGUCAUUGCGAGGCUGAGAUCGCGUAUGCGAGACCCGUAGAACCUGAUUCAGUUUGUACUGACGUAGGGAACUAUCCGCAUCUUGCA